Molecule: ribosomal RNA, 583 nt
Filed under: Apis cerana cerana
Lineage: Eukaryota; Metazoa; Arthropoda; Insecta; Hymenoptera; Apidae
Description: partial 16S ribosomal RNA
Rfam family: Bacterial large subunit ribosomal RNA
Source: RNAcentral
UUAUUCACCUGUUUAUCAAAACAUGGCCUAUUGAGUAUAAUUUUAGGUCGAUCUGCUCCAUGAAAUAAAUUUAAAUAGCUGCAGUAUAUUGACUGUACAAAGGUAGCAUAAUAAAUUGUCUUUUAAUUGAAGAAUUGAAUGAAUGAAUUGAUGAAAUAACAACUGUCUCUAUUUUAUUUAAUGAAUUUAAAUUUUUAGUAAAAAUUCUGAAAUUUAAUUAUGGGACGAUAAGACCCUAUAGAAUUUUAUUUAAUAUAAUUAUUUAUUUAAAUUAUUUGUGAAUAUAUAAUUAAUUUAAAUUUGAUUGGGAGGAUUGGUAAAUAAAAAUAACUUUAUCUAAAAAUUAAUUUUGAUGAAAAGAUUUUUUUUUGACUUAUAAUUUAUGAUUAAAAGAAUAAAUUACCUUAGGGAUAACAGCGUAAUAUCUUUUGAUAGACCACAUUGAUAAAGAUGUUUGCGACCUCGAUGUUGAAUUAAGAGAAAAGUUAAACGCAGGAGUUUAAAAUUUUAAGUCUGUUCGACUUUUAAAAUCUUACAUGAUUUGAGUUCAAAUCGACGUAAGUCAGAUUGGUUUCUAUCUAUA